UCAAGGUGUGUCUGCAGAGUCCUGACUGCGUGCCAGGGGCUCUAUCUGGCACAUUUCUGA
Molecule: microRNA precursor, 60 nt
Organism: Aotus nancymaae (Ma's night monkey)
Lineage: Eukaryota; Metazoa; Chordata; Mammalia; Primates; Aotidae
Source: Ensembl